UUCCGAAAACACCCUCAAUCAUUUUAAUCAGACUUUCUCCUUCGAAGCACGUAUCUCUCUCCAUUUUAGGUUUUGCUUUUUCUCUGAAGCUCUCUCUCCUUAUCCAUUUUAGGUUUUCGUGUUCUUUUGCAGCUGUUCUCGGUGUGUCCAUUUUUCUAAGGCGUUGAAUUGGUGAGCAAUAUGUGUGGACGUUGAUGGAUUUCGUUGGGUUAGUAUCGUGAGUUCUACAUUUCGCUUGGGUGUAACUCACAAAGUCCCUCUUCCUCACACAAGCACUUGGAUGAAAUACCCUAACAAACCCCUAAGCAGUUGUUGGUCCUCAAAAACAACCAUUAAUCUCAAAUUCAUAACUUAAAUUCUAACCAAGUCAGUACUCACCACACACUGGGGAGCCCCCUCUACCAGAGCCAGGGAGCAACGUUGGACUUUUGGUACAGAGGCACUGGUACAACCUGUCUGUAAUCGAUUACACAAGCACAUAAAUCACAAAGUCUCUCUUCCUCACACAAGCACUUGGAUGAAAUACCCUAACAAACCCCUAAGCAGUUGUUGGUCUUCCAAAACAACCAUUAAUCUCAAAAUCAUAACUUAAAUUCUAACCAAGUCAGUACCCACC
Molecule: long non-coding RNA, 616 nt
Filed under: Vigna radiata
Lineage: Eukaryota; Viridiplantae; Streptophyta; Magnoliopsida; Fabales; Fabaceae
Description: long non-coding RNA (VRAD_LNC003068)
Source: RNAcentral